UUCUUCUUUUCUUCGUUUCCUCCGUUAAGAAUCUUUCCCCACGAACAAUCAAUUCCCUCCCCACUCCUGUACAUGCUUUAAUCCCAUUAAUGGGCUCUUUUAAAGUCUCUUAUGCUCCCACGAACAGGCGCUGUAACACUACCGUCGAAACUUUGUCUUCUCAGAUUUUGCAAGGUCAGGAAUCGGGAUGUGAAAAGAAACGGCAAGCUUAUGGGGUCGAUCUACUUCUUCUUGAUGCUAAGCUUAUUCUUUCAAUUCAGGCCCGGAUUGCAAAUCUUCAACGAGUCAUAUGAUUAUGAACUGACGUGAUCAAAUCAGAAGCCAAGCUAAUCCCAUGAGAUCUUCCCGUAAGGGUCAAUACCUAUGGCAAGACAACUGAUUUUACUUCUAAUUUAUAUCAUCAUAUAAUUUAAAAUUAAAACCGAAAACAAUUAUAAAUGAAAUUGUUGGUGUUUAUCUAUCCUUGCAGGCCCAAAUUGCAAACUUUCAAAAGAAAGUUGUUCAAGUAGAUAUCAAAGGUCUUCGUGCCACCACAUCCUUUGGUCAAACACUGGAUAUUUGUCCUGAGAAACGACCAAACUCCUACAGCUAUUUCAGGAAUGCAAUAGCUGAAAUAGGGAGACUUUGAUGUUCGAAGCAUCUCGAGAGUGGCUGGUAUGUCCUUUUUGAUACAUCUUUCUGUUAUUAUGUUUGCUUAUUUUUCUUGAUUUGACACUCUGUCAUGGUGAUUAAGCCAAUGGUUGCUAGAGAAAUCAUGACUCCAGUGGGUGCUGCUUCUGUUGAAUUAAUUGAGCGAAUUAGUUUUAGUUCUAUUGUGCGAGCGUGUCUAAUGCCUAAUUAGUUUUCUUCAGGCAAAAUGGGUCCCAGUUUCGGAUAUUUCUAAGCACUGUUUUCUUUGUACAACAAAGAUGGUACGCGGCAUAUUUUCGAAUUUUCAUCUGGUCUUGAGUCUCUUGACCCUCUUUUCUUUGGAGAAUGUCAAAUCCUUGCAUAUGUGAAACAGGUCGUGAAAGUUGGUCAAGGAGUGCAUGGCUUUGGGAGGAACAUCAGCGGGCUGUUUAAGCACACUCUAUAGUCGUUGGGAAGCGUGUCAGAACAGAGUCAAACAUCACAGCUGGGGCUGUGUCCGUCAGCUCAGCCGCAGUCUUAUCCCAAUAACAUGAUUUUCUAGAGGCCCAAGUAGCUAUUCCUAAGUGAUGUACAAAAAGAGCCAAGCUGAUUAUCAGCCAUUGUCGUCUCAGCUAAGCUUCGUUUCAGGGGAAGGCAUAACAGAGAUCAACAAUGGCAUACAUCAGUUAGUGCAACUAAGUUUACUUCAAUUCAGUUCAAUGAUAUCCUCUUUAACGCGGAGGAUCUCUGCAUAUAAGGAUUUGAUGACAAAGUGGAAACUCACAAUGGGUUUAUCACCUUUGCGUUGACCUUUUUCGAACCUUCCAGUCAUGGCGAAUUCCCAAAUCCAUAUAUCCGAAUUGAAGCCGGGGCGUAGUAAGCAGGUUGUGGUCACAUGUUUGCUUUGGUUUUGGAGAUCUAGAAUGUUAAAAGAGGAGGAAAGCUAAUUGGGGUUGAGAUGGUGUUUGUCGCAGAAAAUGUUAGUAACUGAUCUUUUGUUCCUUAUGUAUGUAAGUUUUGUUUGUCUUGAACAAUAAAAAAAUUGUAUUUGUAAUGAAUGUUUUGGAUAUC
Long non-coding RNA from Raphanus sativus (radish), 1680 nucleotides. RefSeq lists it as uncharacterized. The transcript is spliced from 4 exons. NCBI's taxonomy places the organism in Eukaryota, Viridiplantae, Streptophyta, Magnoliopsida, Brassicales, Brassicaceae. The record is from RefSeq and is a predicted model, not a curated record.